CCUACGGGAGGCAGCAGUGGGGAAUAUUGCACAAUGGGGGAAACCCUGAUGCAGCGACGCCGCGUGAGUGAAGAAGUAAUUCGUUAUGUAAAGCUCUAUCAGCAGGGAAGAAAAUGACGGUACCUGAGUAAGAAGCCCCGGCUAACUACGUGCCAGCAGCCGCGGUAAUACGUAGGGGGCAAGCGUUAUCCGGAUUUACUGGGUGUAAAGGGAGCGUAGACGGCAGUGCAAGUCUGGAGUGAAAGGGGGGGGCUCAACCCCCGGACUGCUCUGGUAACUGUACGGCUGGAGUGCAGGAGAGGUAAUUGGAAUUCCUAGUGUAGCGGUGAAAUGCGUAGAUAUUAGGAGGAACACCAGUGGCGAAGGCGGCUUACUGGACUGUAACUGACGUUGAGGCUCGAAAGCGUGGGGAGCAAACAGGAUUAGAUACCCGAGUAGUC
Molecule: ribosomal RNA, 440 nt
Filed under: uncultured bacterium
Lineage: Bacteria
Description: partial 16S ribosomal RNA
Rfam family: Bacterial small subunit ribosomal RNA
Source: RNAcentral